Molecule: long non-coding RNA, 1210 nt
Filed under: Equus caballus (horse)
Lineage: Eukaryota; Metazoa; Chordata; Mammalia; Perissodactyla; Equidae
Description: lncRNA (ENSECAG00000031701.3)
Source: RNAcentral
CUGCAUCUCAUUUGUUUACAAGGUUCUGCAUCUCAUCUGGCAGAGACUGUCCUGGAGACGUGAACACCCCGCUGUGAAUGUCCUGCCUGUUGGAGGAUGCUGUGCCACAUAGCCCUCUCUCCUUCCACUGAGACUGCUCUUGCUAAUGGAACCCCCAGGGUGAGAGCCUGGCGCCCGGGGUGUUUCCAUUCUUGCUCUUCCAGCAGAAGAAGAACACAAGCUGCCUUUUUCCUGGACCAUCUGGGGGGCAGACAACGGAAACCCACUUCCUAAACUGACGGUGAAGCUCCUAAAAAACUGAGCAAGAGACCCAGGUGGAGGCCGGAACAAAGCCCCAGGGUCAUCAGAAGAGCAUUUUGUCAUCCAACAACGACAAGAAGCCUUGUAAUGCUGUGUGAGUCACAAAACAUUUUCACGUAUAUUCUGCCACUUUAUUCUUCUAAUUCUUCUGUGAGAAAGGUACUCUGUUUACCUAAUUCUACAGAUGAGGACCCUGGGGACUAGAGUUACCCCAAAUCAAUUAGUAACUGGCAGGGCUGCAAUGAUUAGGAAGUGCUGGCAGCUGGUCAGCUUCUCUAUCAAGAAAUCAGUGAUGAUGAUGAUGAUGUAACCCAGAAUUCAGACACUGGACAUCCCUAAAGCCUCCGUCUUGCUCCUUUAACGUUUCAGUAGAUGUAGGCUUCCUGCCCUGUCACAUAUGGCAGAGAACCCCAUGCUCUUUCCACUCUAUCCUGGGUAGGCUGUAUCCUCAGGCCCUGAAUUACUUCUCAAUCCUUGGUUCUCCCCUUGUGUUUUGUUUCCUGCUUUGGGUCUCCCUUUUUUUGCGGAUAUUCUCCCCAAUAAUAGACAAGCUGAGGUGUACAGAUAGUAAGUUGAGGUGUACAGAUAUCAAGUGACACCUGACUGCCGCAUACAGUUGGGCAGUUGGGACACUGUACAAGGGGGCCCUGUUGAGAGAGGGAGGUGGAGGGUGGAAAUCCAGCCGAGCAGCAUUUGCCAAGUUGGGAAACCUGAGGUGCUGCAUCCUAACCAGAGGGAACUCUCUUAUUUAUCUGUCCAAAAGGGACGUCUUCUUCUAAUUUGCACAAAGACAUGCUAUAGUCUGGAGCUGACCUUCAGGAACACAUUCGAGGUCACACAUCGAGAAAGUCGUGGCCAGAGUGGAAAGCCUGGUCAGCUUCCGAGUUCCGGUCUGGUGCACAUCCUCCCU